Gossypium raimondii (Peruvian cotton) is the source of this 387-nucleotide long non-coding RNA. RefSeq lists it as uncharacterized. Lineage: Eukaryota; Viridiplantae; Streptophyta; Magnoliopsida; Malvales; Malvaceae. The record is from RefSeq and is a predicted model, not a curated record. The transcript has 3 exons.
AUCUUUAUCUGUUUCUCAUGUGACUCUGAAGCCUCCUUCUUUCCUUCAACAUACCCAAGGUUUGGACGUUGGUGCUAGGGAGAAGCAAGGAAAUCCUAAAGCAUGUCUUCACUUAAAGUUUCCGCUCAAAUGGAUUAUGAUUUGCAGCAUGGCCACCUAACAGCUUUCGUUUAUUGGGUUAAUGAGAGAAUACAUUCAAGGUAUAUAGUUUGCUGUUAGUGCUUUUAUGACUUGUGAUAAUGUUCGAGAAUGGUCCUUUCUGGUGCUAGUUUUAAAUGAUGUACAAUUGUUUUUGUUUUUGUUUUUUAAUUCUUAACCCUUCCCCUAUUCCCAACUGUGGUUUGUUUUGUACCAAAGAAUGAAUAUCGAACUGUGGUUUUCUUCCUU